Molecule: ribosomal RNA, 986 nt
Filed under: feces metagenome
Description: bacterial LSU rRNA
Rfam family: Bacterial large subunit ribosomal RNA
Source: RNAcentral
UAACUAUAACGGUCCUAAGGUAGCGAAAUUCCUUGUCGGGUAAGUUCCGACCCGCACGAAAGGCGUAACGAUUUGGGCACUGUCUCAACAACAGACUCGGUGAAAUUGUAAUCCCGGUGAAGAUGCCGGGUACCUGCGACAGGACGGAAAGACCCCAUGGAGCUUUACUGUAGCUUGACAUUGAAUUUUGGUGCUACAUGUACAGGAUAGGUGGGAGGCUAUGAAGUCGGGACGCCAGUCUCGGCGGAGCCAUCCUUGGGAUACCACCCUUGUAGUACUGAGAUUCUAACCAGAUGCCUUGAAUCAGGUAUUGGGACACUGUCAGGUGGGCAGUUUGACUGGGGCGGUCGCCUCCCAAAGAGUAACGGAGGCGCUCAAAGGUUCUCUCAGCACGGUCGGAAAUCGUGCGUAGAGUGUAAAGGCAGAAGAGAGCUUGAUUGCAAGACAUACAGGUCGAGCAAGGACGAAAGUCGGACUUAGUGAUCCGGUGGUUCCGCAUGGAAGGGCCAUCGCUCAACGGAUAAAAGCUACCCUGGGGAUAACAGGCUUAUCUCCCCCAAGAGUCCACAUCGACGGGGAGGUUUGGCACCUCGAUGUCGGCUCAUCGCAUCCUGGGGCUGUAGUAGGUCCCAAGGGUUGGGCUGUUCGCCCAUUAAAGUGGUACGCGAGCUGGGUUCAGAACGUCGUGAGACAGUUCGGUCCCUAUCCGUCGCAGGCGUAGGAAAUUUGAGGAGACCUGUCCUUAGUACGAGAGGACCGGGAUGGACGUACCUCUGGUGUACCAGUUGUUCUGCCAAGGGCAUGGCUGGGUAGCUAUGUACGGAAUGGAUAAGCGCUGAAAGCAUCUAAGCGCGAAGCCAACUUCAAGAUAAGAUUUCCCACCGUAAGGGUAAGAUCCCAGGAAGACUACCUGGUUGAUAGGUCGGAGGUGUAAGUGCAGUAAUGUAUGUAGCUUACCGAUACUAAUAGAUCGAGGACUUGACCAA